UUCGCAAAAGAAGGAGAUCUUCAAAUUCAGACAUUGAUGAGAAGUCUCUCACUCAAGCACAUCGCUAUGUAUUAUUCAAUGUUGAGUCAGUUACACCUUUUCGAGAGGAACACAAACGGAUAGUCAAGGGACAAUACGGUUCUCGUCGGAUACCAGAUUAUGAAAUGAGCAAGAUUCAUGGCCAACAGUUUGCUGACUGGUUCAAGAAAAGGGUUGCACGUUUGGAAGAGCAAGGUGAUGAAGUAACUGAAGAUCUAAAAUGGCUUGCUCGUGGUCCGCUUAGAAGUGUGAAUCGAUACUCUGGAUACCUUGUUAAGGGUUAUCGUUUUCAUACAAAAAGUCGAGAGAAGUCACUAAAAACCCAAAACAGUGGUGUUGUUGUUACUGUAGAAGGUGAAAAUUAUGCUAGUAGUCGAGAUAGAAGGCCUGUUCAAGGUGUGGUUAACUACUAUGGUAAAUUGAAUGACAUUAUU
RNAcentral lists this long non-coding RNA (473 nucleotides) under Helianthus annuus (common sunflower). RNAcentral describes it as "hypothetical non coding rna". The record is from RNAcentral. Lineage: Eukaryota; Viridiplantae; Streptophyta; Magnoliopsida; Asterales; Asteraceae.